Molecule: unclassified non-coding RNA, 240 nt
Filed under: soil metagenome
Description: partial contains 5.8S ribosomal RNA, internal transcribed spacer 2, and large subunit ribosomal RNA
Source: RNAcentral
AACGCACGAGACCUGCGGACCUGCGGAAGGAUCAUUACCGAGUGAGGGCCCUCUGGGUCCAACCUCCCACCCGUGUUUAUCGUACCUUGUUGCUUCGGCGGGCCCGCCUCACGGCCGCCGGGGGGCACCUGCCCCCGGGCCCGCGCCCGCCGAAGACAUCAUUGAACUCUGUCUGAAGAUUGCAGUCUGAGUAGAUUAGCUAAAUCAGUUAAAACUUUCAACAAUGGAUCUCUAGAUCGG